GACGAACGCUGGCGGCGUGCCUAACACAUGCAAGUCGAACGGAAAGGCCCCCUUGUGGCGUACUCGAGUGGCGAACGGGUGAGUAACACGUGAGUAAACUACCCUUGACUUUGGGAUAACUUCAGGAAACUGGGGCUAAUACCGGAUAGGAGAUCCUGCUGCAUGGUGGGGGUUGGAAAUUUUCGGCGGUUGGGGAUGGACGCGCGGCUUAUAAGCUUGUUGGUGGGGUAGUGGCUCACCGAGGCUGUGACGGGUAGCCGGCCCGAGAGGGUGACCGGCCACAUUGGGACUGAGAUACGGCCCAGACUCCAACGGGAGGCAGCAGUGGGGAAUAUUGCACAAUGGGCGGAAGCCUGAUGCAGCAACGCCGCGUGCGGGAUGACGGCCUUCGGGUUGUAAACCGCUUUCGCCUGUGACGAAGCGUGAGUGACGGUAAUGGGUAAAGAAGCACCGGCUAACUACGUG
This 465-nucleotide ribosomal RNA is filed under the name uncultured bacterium. RNAcentral describes it as "partial 16S ribosomal RNA". It matches the Rfam family "Bacterial small subunit ribosomal RNA", at positions 28 to 507 of the family's 1533-position model. The record is from RNAcentral.